Molecule: long non-coding RNA, 628 nt
Filed under: Homo sapiens (human)
Lineage: Eukaryota; Metazoa; Chordata; Mammalia; Primates; Hominidae
Description: non-protein coding FAM87A:11
Source: RNAcentral
GCGGUGGGGUUCCUGCAACGCGUGUUCCUGCUGGGGUUCUCCUUUCUGCUGUUCCGAGCUACAGUGCGGAUCAUGCUCCCCAUACGUGGAGUCCAGGGACAGCACAGCCCGGGGACUGCCCAGCCAGCCAGGAAGUCUGGCUUUCAGAGAACUGGGAAGACCAUCUUCCACUUUAUCCCAUCUGGGAGACUGUAAACAUGGAUUCCACUGUCUCGGACAGUGAGACGAUUCCCAGUCUUUUCCUGUUCCUCCUCUAGAUGCUGUCUUGGACGCAGUGAAGUCUGCCGAUGGCUGUUUCAGAGCCGUUAGGAUGGUGAAGUGAGACAAUGUGAAUGGAGUGUUUUGUGAGGCUCAGUGCUGCAUAAAUGCUAGCCAUUAUCUAAUAGCAAGAAUUCCUUGAAAUGUUUCUUUCUCUCAAAUUUAUGAAAAGAUUAGAAAAUAGUUCUAAAAAUUAAAAAUGCUUCUGGUCGGAGCGGCUUACAUGAUGGCAGUGAAAGUGUGCAGCUUCAUGGGUCCCACUGCGUGCACUUGGCAUGGAGAGAACGAAAUGUGGAGGCCAGCGAUACCAAGAACACCCCUGUGAGCCGCGCUGGGUGCAGCCCCCACGGCCGGCGGGCAGUGACACCGC